AGUUUGAUCCUGGCUCAGAACGAACGUUGGCGGCGUGGAUCAGGCAUGCAAGUCGAGCGCCGCAGCAAUGCGGAGCGGCGAACGGGGCAGUAAAGCAUGGGUAACCUACCCUGGGGACCGGGAUAGCCAUUCUAACGGAUGGGUAAGCCCGGGCGAAUUGAGCGGGCCGCAUGGCCGGCUCAAGAGAGUGAAGGCCACAGGAGGGGCUCAUGUCGUAUUAGCUAGUUGGUGGGGUAACGGCCCACCAAGGCGACGAUGCCUAGCGGGUGUGCGAGCACGACCCGCGCCACUGGCACUGAGACACUGGCCAGACACCUACGGGUGGCUGCAGUCGAGGAUCUUCGGCAAUGGGCGCAAGCUUGACCGAGCGACGCCGCGUGAGCGAUGAAGGCCUUCGGGUUGUAAAGCUCUGUCGGGGGGGAGAAAAGGCAACUUGAUCGACCCCCGGAGGAAGGACGGGCUAAGUUCGUGCCAGCAGCCGCGGUAAGACGAACCGUCCAAACGUUAUUCGGAAUCACUGGGCUUAAAGGGUGCGUAGGCGGAGAGGCAAGUCAGAGGUGAAAGCCCACGGCUCAACCGUGGAAGUGCCCCUGAAACGGCCUCUCUCGAGGGAGAUAGGGGCGUGCGGAACUCAGAGUGGAGCGGUGAAAUGCGUAGAUAUUCUGAGGAACACCGGUGGCGAAAGCGGCACGCUGGGUCUUUGCUGACGCUGAGGCACGAAAGCUAGGGGAGCAAACGGGAUUAGAUACCCCGGUAGUCCUAGCCCUAAACGUUGGGUACUAGGUAGCGGCCUGUCCUGGGGUCGCUGCCGGAGCAAAAGUGUUAAGUACCCCGCCUGGGGAGUAUGGUCGCAAGGCUGANCUCAAAGGAAUUGANGGGGGCUCACACAAGCGGUGGAGCAUGUNGCUNAUUCGAGCAACGCGAAGAACUUAUCCUGGG
Molecule: ribosomal RNA, 939 nt
Filed under: uncultured bacterium
Lineage: Bacteria
Description: bacterial SSU rRNA
Rfam family: Bacterial small subunit ribosomal RNA
Source: RNAcentral